ACAAGCCGGAGGUGUCCGCCCCGGAAGGACUCGUAAGAAGGAUUCGAACUCAGCCAAGCUCUCUGCCUCCCGCCCUCCCCCAGGCUCCUCUCCCUCCGGCCCCUCUUUCCCGCGUCCCCGCCAUCACGUCAUAGUUACCGAGGCCGGAGGCGCGAGACUGGGGGAGUUCCACCGCCCGGGAAGAGGAAUUGCAGCACAAACUGUGUGAACUUCAUGAAUCUGGAGCUGCAGUACAAGCCGGACCACUAGACUUUCCACUUCACAACCUGAACCCAGGAGACAAGGUAUAUAUUAAGAAUUUCCAGUGUACUGGAGCAACUUGGCCUUCCUGGGAAGGGCCAUUCCAAAUAUUAACUACUCCAACAUCUAUAAAGGUUGGAGAGAAGGACUCUUGGAUUCACUGCUCACAUGUAAAGAGAACAUCUGCUGUUGAGACUGAUUGACUCUAUCCUAUCACAUGAGUCGGAGAUAAUAAUCCAUUGACAAGUGGAUACUGUUUUUCGAGAACACAUUAAAUUCCUGAUUUUUUCAUUAUUGCUUUUCUUUUGAUUAGAAUAUUUUAUUUUUCCCUUUUCCUCAUUUCUUGUACUAAAGGCACAUACAAUUAAUUUUUUCUUUUCUCCAGUAAUAUAAGUUUAUAUAUAUACAUAUAUAUAACAUACAUACUUGUUAUAAUAUCAAUGCAUACCCCAAAACUUUAAACUGUGGGAACCUGCCAUUUAUUGAUAAACUCUUAUGGGACUGUGAUGAAUAUUUGUGUCUGAUUCCAGAAAAUGGGAUAAAAACAAGGAUCACAGACUUAACCUGAAUAGUGCCAAAAAGAGCACACAGGAAAAAAUACUAAUGUGGAUUCGAGGUUGUGACGCUUGACAUAUGCUGAGUCAUAGGACUUCCUUGUAUCUACACCCUUUGUGAAGUACUCAUACAAGUACCAAAAUUUGACUAUCGUGCUGGCUCCCUAUAGCCCUGAGAAUAAAAAAAGUCAGACCAGGGAAUGACGCUUCCCUAUCAAAAU
Molecule: long non-coding RNA, 1015 nt
Organism: Monodelphis domestica (gray short-tailed opossum)
Lineage: Eukaryota; Metazoa; Chordata; Mammalia; Didelphimorphia; Didelphidae
Source: RefSeq, a predicted model, not a curated record